This 468-nucleotide ribosomal RNA is filed under the name uncultured bacterium. RNAcentral's name for it is "partial 16S ribosomal RNA". It matches the Rfam family "Bacterial small subunit ribosomal RNA", at positions 28 to 507 of the family's 1533-position model. The record is from RNAcentral.
GACGAACGCUGGCGGCGUGCCUAACACAUGCAAGUCGAACGGUAAGGUCCUGCCUUUGUCUUGUGCGCGGCUGGCGAACGGGGGAGUAACACGUGACUAACCUGCCUCUGGCUUUGGGAUAAUUUCAAGAAACAUGGGUAAAUACUAGUUCAGAGCUUCUCCUGCACGGGGGGGGUUAGCACGGUUCGGCGGUUGGGGGUGGGCGCGCGGCUUAUCAGCUUGUUGGUGGAGUAGUGGCUUACCAAGGCUUUGACGGGUAGCCGGCCUGAGAGGGUGACCGGCCACAUUGGGACUGAGAUACGGCCCAGAGUCGUACGGGAGGCAGCAGUGGGGAGUAUUGCGCAAUGGGGCGAAGCCUGAUGCAGCAACGCCGCGUGCGGGAUGGCGGCCUUCGGGUGGUAAACCGCUUUCGCCUGUGACGAUGCGUGAGUGACGGUAAUGGGUGAAGAAGCACCGGCUAACUACGUG